RNAcentral lists this ribosomal RNA (247 nucleotides) under uncultured bacterium. RNAcentral describes it as "partial 16S ribosomal RNA". It matches the Rfam family "Bacterial small subunit ribosomal RNA", at positions 524 to 776 of the family's 1533-position model. The record is from RNAcentral.
UACGGAGGAUCCCAAGCGUUAUCCGGAUUAUUGGGUUUAAAGGGUGCGUAGGCGGCCUGUUAAGUCAGGUGAAAGACGGUAGCUCAACUAUCGCAGUGCCCUUGAUACUGACGGGCUUGAAUUGACUAGAGGUAGGCCGGAAUGUGACAAGUAGCGGUGAAUGCAUAGAUAUGUCACAGAACACCGAUUGCGAAGGCAGCCUUACUAUGGUCAUAUUGACGCUGAGCACGAAGCGUGGAUCAACAGG